Molecule: non-coding RNA, 109 nt
Organism: Acanthosepion pharaonis
Lineage: Eukaryota; Metazoa; Mollusca; Cephalopoda; Sepiida; Sepiidae
Source: the annotation of a GenBank genome assembly
AGCCAUAUCAUGUUGAAACAGCGGUUCUCGUACGAUCACCAAAGUUAAGCAACAUCGAUCCAGGUCAGUACCUAGAUGGGUGACCACUUGGGAAUACCGCGUACUGUAA